AGUUGGUUAGUUAUUCUGUUGGAUUAUAUAAUACUAGCUGAAUUCUGUCCCGCUUACUGGGAUAAUUUCAUUAAUGAAAGCAAGAAGGAUAAGAGAAAGGGUUCAUGCGGUUAGAAGAUCUAGAUGUCUACAUGUAUCCGGCCAGUGAUAAUCUUUCACAUCUUAGGGACAAAAAACAAAAAAAAAGAACAUAAGACGGCUGGCGCUGUGUCAACCGCGCCUGACACAAUCCUGACAAGCAGCCACUAGACGUCCCGCGAACCAGGGCCUACCGUUACAGGUGCGUUUUCAGAGACAGAAGAAUAGCUCUGGUCACUACCUUGUCCAUUCCUCCAAUUGGAAAACCUUUCGGCAAAUGAAGACAGACCAAGAGCAGAAUACCAGCUAAUCAGUAAAUGCUCUGCGUAAGGAAAAAAAACGAAAUAUGCGCAAUAGCUAAAACAUGGACUGUUCACGAGUUACAUCGCCACUUGAUGCUCGGUACUUUUGUCCGGAGCAUAUACAUUUUUCUUGCUGAGUUGUAAUAUAUUAUAACACACCUCAAAUUUCGUUCCAUCCUUAUGUGAUUUCUUAAUUUCUUUUUAUCACAUUGAAAAACAAUAUCGACUAAUCUCACCCUCCAUUCAUCUUUAAUCUUUCAUUUUUCGAAAUGUAAAAAUAUUCAAGAUAAUUGUGAAACAGCCCAAUCAUUGGGCGUAGCUAAUAGUGAAUUAAGUAAUUUACGAACUAGAACGA
Molecule: small RNA, 735 nt
Filed under: Histoplasma capsulatum var. duboisii H88
Lineage: Eukaryota; Fungi; Ascomycota; Eurotiomycetes; Onygenales; Ajellomycetaceae
Description: Histoplasma capsulatum H88 hypothetical RNA
Source: RNAcentral